UACGUAGGGUGCGAGCGUUGUCCGGAAUUAUUGGGCGUAAAGAGCUCGUAGGCGGUGUGUCACGUCGGCCGUGAAAACCUGCAGCUUAACUGUGGGCGUGCGGUCGAUACGGGCAUCACUGGAGUUCGGCAGGGGAGACUGGAAUUCCUGGUGUAGCGGUGAAAUGCGCAGAUAUCAGGAGGAACACCGGUGGCGAAGUCGGGUCUCUGGGCCGAUACUGACGCUGAGGAGCGAAAGCGUGGGGAGCAAACAGG
This 254-nucleotide ribosomal RNA is filed under the name uncultured bacterium. Its description in RNAcentral is "partial 16S ribosomal RNA". It matches the Rfam family "Bacterial small subunit ribosomal RNA", at positions 524 to 776 of the family's 1533-position model. The record is from RNAcentral.